GGACUAGUAUGACGGCUAAUGAGGACUCAACUGUCUCUUGCAGCCUGCCAAUGAAACUGAUCUCUUAGUUCAAAAGCUAAGAUUUUAACACAAGACGAGAAGACCCUGUGGAGCUUAAAACCAACCCCAAAAUAAUGGCCCUUUGGUUUUCAGUUGGGGCGACUUCGGAGUACAAAACCCCCUCCGACACAAUACCAACCACACCAGAUGGACACUUCUAAACAACUAAGACCCAGUAGUUUACAAACUAUCUGAACAAUGGAGCAAGUUACCCCAGGGAUAACAGCGCCAUCCUCUCUUAGAGUCCCUAUCGACGAGAGGGCUUACGACCUCGAUGUUGGAUCAGGACAACCUAAUAGUGCAACCGCUAUUAAGGGUUCGUUUGUUCAACGAUUAAUAGUCCUACGUGAUCUGAG
RNAcentral lists this ribosomal RNA (416 nucleotides) under Acanthodactylus schmidti. RNAcentral describes it as "partial large subunit ribosomal RNA". It matches the Rfam family "Archaeal large subunit ribosomal RNA", at positions 2061 to 2678 of the family's 2987-position model. The record is from RNAcentral. Lineage: Eukaryota; Metazoa; Chordata; Lepidosauria; Squamata; Lacertidae.